Long non-coding RNA from Saccostrea echinata, 447 nucleotides. RefSeq lists it as uncharacterized. The record is from RefSeq and is a predicted model, not a curated record. The transcript has 5 exons. NCBI's taxonomy places the organism in Eukaryota, Metazoa, Mollusca, Bivalvia, Ostreida, Ostreidae.
AAAUAUACUUGGUCUACACUGGAAAAGGAAAAAAGAACAUGUUGUCACCCAUACCUGAUAGGGGAGACGCUAUUAUGCAAACCCGUUAACCGAGAGGGUCAAGCUGAAUGAGGUUUUGCCUGUUGGAACUGGUAUAUGCAAAAGAUGUAUAGAAACACACUUUAAAAAAUCAGUAUGGAAGUAAAGCUGAAGGAAGAGCUUAAAGCAGAAAUGUGUUCCUAUUGACAAGGCAACAAUUGAAUCAAACCAAACAGAGCAAAGAGUGGAGGAAAAUGGAAGAAGUCAUGGACUUAACAGAAAACAUAUGACCUAAUACCUGCAGAUUUUGAAUUCAUAUCAUCAGUGCAUAUAAAUUGGUCAAAAGAUGAAAGAUCUCAGCAUAAAUUGUUCAAUCAUGCAAAGCAUAUCCUGUCAAAUGGAGAUUACCCUCCCUUAAAGUGUCAAGUA